AGACGGAGGAUCCGAGCGUUAUCCGGAUUUAUUGGGUUUAAAGGGUGCGCAGGCGGCCAUUUAAGUCAGCGGUUAAAUCGUGGGGCUCAACCCCAUUCUGCCGUUGAUACUGGGUGGCUUGAUUGCGGUCGAGGUUGGCGGAAUUCGUUGUGGUGCGGUUGAAUGCAUAGAUAUGACGAAGAAAACCGAUUGCGUAGGCAGCUGACCAGACCGCAAAUGACGCUCAUGCACGAAAGCGUGGGGAUCGAACAGGAUUAGAUACCCUGGUAGUCCACGCAGUAAACGAUGAUGACUAACCGUCGGCGAUAGACCGCCGGUGGCCAAGCGAAAGCGAUAAGUCAUCCACCUGGGGAGUACGACCGCAAGGUUGAAACUCAAAUGAAUUGGCGGGG
Molecule: ribosomal RNA, 392 nt
Filed under: uncultured bacterium
Lineage: Bacteria
Description: partial 16S ribosomal RNA
Rfam family: Bacterial small subunit ribosomal RNA
Source: RNAcentral